Molecule: ribosomal RNA, 465 nt
Filed under: uncultured bacterium
Lineage: Bacteria
Description: partial 16S ribosomal RNA
Rfam family: Bacterial small subunit ribosomal RNA
Source: RNAcentral
GACGAACGCUGGCGGCGUGCUUAACACAUGCAAGUCGAACGGUAAGGCUCCAGCUUGCUGGGGUACACGAGUGGCGAACGGGUGAGUAACACGUGGGUGACCUGCCCUGCACUUCGGGAUAAGCCUGGGAAACUGGGUCUAAUACCGGAUAGGACCGCACCGUGAGGGUGGGGGGGAAAGUUUUUUCGGUGUGGGAUGGGCCCGCGGCCUAUCAGCUUGUUGGUGGGGUAAUGGCCUACCAAGGCGGCGACGGGUAGCCGGCCUGAGAGGGUGGACGGCCACAUUGGGACUGAGACACGGCCCAGACUCCUACGGGAGGCAGCAGUGGGGAAUAUUGCACAAUGGGCGGAAGCCUGAUGCAGCGACGCCGCGUGGGGGAUGACGGCCUUCGGGUUGUAAACUCCUUUCACCAUCGACGAAGGGUGUCUGACGGUAGAUGGAGAAGAAGCACCGGCUAACUACGUG